Molecule: long non-coding RNA, 494 nt
Organism: Hemicordylus capensis (graceful crag lizard)
Lineage: Eukaryota; Metazoa; Chordata; Lepidosauria; Squamata; Cordylidae
Exons: 2
Source: RefSeq, a predicted model, not a curated record
CCUGGAGCUGUUUCCUGCAGCUCUCCCUGCCUUGCCCUCUCAACCCCCCUGGGAUCCAACUUGCCUGGGCCCUUCUUAUCCCCACUGCCUCCUAAAGGGAACAAAAGCCUCAGGGGAGGGAUGCUACGCCCUUCUCCAGCCUCCACAGGGCCACCCAAGCGACCAGAAAACCCACAUCUCUGGAUGCCACAUGCCUAGCUCUUCCCACCUAUACCUUUUGAGCAUCUUCAAAGGACUGAGAGCAUGGACAGAGAACAAAGGAUAACAACGAUCUCUUGAUCAGCAUUGCCUCCUCUGAUUCAAUUACAUGGCCUUUUUUUUGCUCUUGCACUGGAAAGCACUCAGAGCUUGAAUUGCAGGAAGUCACCAACUACAGCAAGACUGUGGGGAAAUUACAGUGAGGGAAGUGUGCUUAGGGAACUACAACUGAGGAGUACUUUCAUUGUCCAUCACCUCAGCACUCCUGGCCCCCAAAAAUAAAGAAAUAAUCAUAA